GGGCGAGAUGUGUAGGUGGCUGCAUGGUUGUCGUCAGCUCGUGCCGUGAGGUGUCGGCUUAAGUGCCAUAACGAGCGCAACCUCAUCAUUAGUUACCAUCAGGUAAGGCUGGGGACUCUAAUGAGACUGCCAUCGUAAGAUGUGAGGAAGGUGGGGAUGACGUCAAAUCAGCACGGCCCUUACGUCCGGGGCGACACACGUGUUACAAUGGGUGGUACAAAGGGCAGCUACCUGGCGACAGGAUGCUAAUCUCCAAAACCACUCUCAGUUCGGAUCGGAGUCUGCAACUCGACUCCGUGAAGCUGGAUUCGCUAGUAAUCGCGCAUCAGCCACGGCGCGGUGAAUACGUUCCCGGGCCUU
RNAcentral lists this ribosomal RNA (360 nucleotides) under uncultured Proteiniphilum sp. Its description in RNAcentral is "bacterial SSU rRNA". It matches the Rfam family "Bacterial small subunit ribosomal RNA", at positions 1023 to 1382 of the family's 1533-position model. Lineage: Bacteria; Pseudomonadati; Bacteroidota; Bacteroidia; Bacteroidales; Dysgonomonadaceae. The record is from RNAcentral.